RNAcentral lists this ribosomal RNA (630 nucleotides) under Escherichia coli. RNAcentral's name for it is "partial 23S ribosomal RNA". It matches the Rfam family "Bacterial large subunit ribosomal RNA", at positions 612 to 1242 of the family's 2925-position model. Lineage: Bacteria; Pseudomonadati; Pseudomonadota; Gammaproteobacteria; Enterobacterales; Enterobacteriaceae. The record is from RNAcentral.
AUAAUGGGUCAGCGACUUAUAUUCUGUAGCAAGGUUAACCGAAUAGGGGAGCCGAAGGGAAACCGAGUCUUAACUGGGCGUUAAGUUGCAGGGUAUAGACCCGAAACCCGGUGAUCUAGCCAUGGGCAGGUUGAAGGUUGGGUAACACUAACUGGAGGACCGAACCGACUAAUGUUGAAAAAUUAGCGGAUGACUUGUGGCUGGGGGUGAAAGGCCAAUCAAACCGGGAGAUAGCUGGUUCUCCCCGAAAGCUAUUUAGGUAGCGCCUCGUGAAUUCAUCUCCGGGGGUAGAGCACUGUUUCGGCAAGGGGGUCAUCCCGACUUACCAACCCGAUGCAAACUGCGAAUACCGGAGAAUGUUAUCACGGGAGACACACGGCGGGUGCUAACGUCCGUCGUGAAGAGGGAAACAACCCAGACCGCCAGCUAAGGUCCCAAAGUCAUGGUUAAGUGGGAAACGAUGUGGGAAGGCCCAGACAGCCAGGAUGUUGGCUUAGAAGCAGCCAUCAUUUAAAGAAAGCGUAAUAGCUCACUGGUCGAGUCGGCCUGCGCGGAAGAUGUAACGGGGCUAAACCAUGCACCGAAGCUGCGGCAGCGACGCUUAUGCGUUGUUGGGUAGGGGAGCGUUCU